RNAcentral lists this small nucleolar RNA (141 nucleotides) under Clavispora lusitaniae ATCC 42720. The record is from RNAcentral. Lineage: Eukaryota; Fungi; Ascomycota; Pichiomycetes; Serinales; Metschnikowiaceae.
UCCCGAAAUGAUAACUGGAUGGAUUGAUCGGUGUUCAGUCCCUAUCUGUCUUUUAAAUUUUCGGAAGAUCAAAGAGGGAAUGCUUCUUACACGGUUCUGAGAUUAUUUGUUCUCUUAGCCGUUUACUUUCGCUCGACAUUU